This 1086-nucleotide ribosomal RNA is filed under the name uncultured bacterium. RNAcentral's name for it is "bacterial SSU rRNA". It matches the Rfam family "Bacterial small subunit ribosomal RNA", at positions 9 to 1077 of the family's 1533-position model. The record is from RNAcentral.
GAGUUUGAUCCUGGCUCAGGAUAAACGCUGGCGGCGCACAUAAGACAUGCAAGUCGAACGGAAGUCGUAUAAAAAUAGAUUGAAGAUUUAUCUGAUUGAAGUUUUUAUACAAUGGCUUUAGUGGCGGACUGGUGAGUAACACGUAAGCAACCUGCCUAUUAGAGGGGAACAACAGUUAGAAAUGACUGCUAAUACCGCAUAUGCCAUAAUGGAGACAUCUCCAUAGUGGGAAAGGAGUAAUCCGCUAAUAGAUGGGCUUGCGUCUGAUUAGCUAGUUGGUGGGGUAACGGCCUACCAAGGCGACGAUCAGUAGCCGGACUGAGAGGUUGAACGGCCACAUUGGGACUGAGAUACGGCCCAGACUCCUACGGGAGGCAGCAGUCGGGAAUAUUGCGCAAUGGAGGGAACUCUGACGCAGUGACGCCGCGUGCAGGAAGAAGGUUUUCGGAUUGUAAACUGCUUUAGACAGGGAAGAAAAAAGACAGUACCUGUAGAAUAAGCUCCGGCUAACUACGUGCCAGCAGCCGCGGUAAUACGUAGGGAGCAAGCGUUAUCCGGAUUUAUUGGGUGUAAAGGGUGCGUAGACGGAGAAGCAAGUUGGUUGUGAAAUCCCUCGGCUUAACUGAGGAACUGCAACCAAAACUACUUCCCUUGAGUGCUGGAGGGGAAAGUGGAAUUCCUAGUGUAGCGGUGAAAUGCGUAGAUAUUAGGAGGAACACCAGUGGCGAAGGCGACUUUCUGGACAGUAACUGACGUUGAGGCAUGAAAGUGUGGGGAGCAAACAGGAUUAGAUACCCUGGUAGUCCACACCGUAAACGAUGGAUACUAGGUGUAGGGAAUAUUAAGUUUUCUGUGCCGUCGCAAACGCAGUAAGUAUCCCACCUGGGGAGUACGGCCGCAAGGUUGAAACUCAAAGGAAUUGACGGGGGCCCGCACAAGCAGUGGAGUAUGUGGCUUAAUUCGAAGCAACGCGAAGAACCUUACCAGGGCUUGACAUAUAGAUGAAAGUUCUAGAGAUAGAACCUCUCUUCGGAGCAUCUAUACAGGUGGUGCAUGGUUGUCGUCAGCUCGUGUCGUGAGAUGUUC